This 278-nucleotide unclassified non-coding RNA is filed under the name Hevea brasiliensis (rubber tree). Lineage: Eukaryota; Viridiplantae; Streptophyta; Magnoliopsida; Malpighiales; Euphorbiaceae. The record is from RNAcentral.
GUGAGUACUGUAUUCAUCAUGCAAUUCAGGAUAAAAGCACUAGGAUUUUUCAUUUAGUUUUUUGCUUUGGAAACUGGUGUUGGAACUCUUUUUCGAUACAAAAUUACUCUGGUAUUUACCAUUGCUCCGAUAACAAGUGUAUGCAUGUUUAUCUGUAAAGGUUCACUGGCCAAAAAGUCCAAAACUUUACCCACUUUUUCAAUUUUAGCCAUUCCUUUUAUUUUUAUCAAUUAGUACUUGAAACAUUGACCUUUGUUUCAAUUUUAGCAAUCAAUUUA